This 482-nucleotide ribosomal RNA is filed under the name uncultured bacterium. RNAcentral describes it as "partial 16S ribosomal RNA". It matches the Rfam family "Bacterial small subunit ribosomal RNA", at positions 29 to 507 of the family's 1533-position model. The record is from RNAcentral.
AUGCACGCUGGCGGCGUGCCUCACCCCUGCCAGUCGAACGGAGUCGUUUUGGAAAUCUCUUCGGAGAUGGAAUUCUCGACUUAGUGGCGGACGGGUGAGUAACGCGUGAGCAAUCUGCCUUUAAGAGGGGGAUAACAGUCGGAAACGGCUGCUAAUACCGCAUAAAGCAUUAAAUUCGCAUGUUUUUGAUGCCAAAGGAGCAAUCCGCUUUUAGAUGAGCUCGCGUCUGAUUAGCUAGUUGGCGGGGUAACGGCCCACCAAGGCGACGAUCAGUAGCCGGACUGAGAGGUUGAACGGCCACAUUGGGACUGAGACCACGCCCAGACUCCUACGGGAGGCAGCAGUGGGGAAUAUUGCGCAAUGGGGGAAACCCUGACGCAGCAACGCCGCGUGAUUGAAGAAGGCCUUCGGGUUGUAAAGAUCUUUAAUCAGGGACGAAACAAAUGACGGUACCUGAAGAAUAAGCUCCGGCUAACUACGUG